This 500-nucleotide ribosomal RNA is filed under the name uncultured Glomeromycotina. Its description in RNAcentral is "partial small subunit ribosomal RNA". It matches the Rfam family "Eukaryotic small subunit ribosomal RNA", at positions 591 to 1092 of the family's 1831-position model. Lineage: Eukaryota; Fungi; Glomeromycota. The record is from RNAcentral.
CCAAUAGCGUAUAUUAAAGUUGUUGCAGUUAAAAAGCUCGUAGUUGAAUUUCGAGAUCAGUACGCUGGUCGUGCCUUCGGUAUGCACUGGUGUCACUGGUUUCUCCCUUCUGAAGAACCGUCAUGCCAUUCAGUUGGUGUGGCGGGGAAUCAGGACUGUUACUUUGAGAAAAUUAGAGUGCUUAAAGCAGGCUCGCGCUUGAAUACAUUAGCAUGGAAUAAUGAAAUAGGACGUUUGACCCUAUUUUGUUGGUUUAUAGGAUCGACGUAAUGAUUAAUAGGGAUAGUUGGGGGCAUUAGUAUUCAAUUGUCAGAGGCGAAAUUCUUGGAUCUAUUGAAGACUAACUACUGCGAAAGCAUUUGCCAAGGAUGUUUGCAUUAAUCAAGAACGAAAGGUAGGGGAUCGAAGACGAUCAGAUACCGUCGUAGUCUUAACCAUAAACUAUGCCGACUAGGGAUCGGAUGAUGUUAAUUUUUUAAUGACUCAUUCGGCGCCUUACG